GGGUCUGGGGGGGUAAGAUGUACGCAGUCCAUACCUCUACCUCUGAUGAAGUAGAAAGGCUGUUUCCAAAAGACCCCCGGCUCAAGUCACGAGAUAUCACACAAACACAUAGUACAGCACAGAAGCAGAUGACAUAACAUAGAUACGGCACCCAUAAGGAAUAUAAAACAGAGUAAAGCAAGAAUGCAGGAAUAUACAGCAGAGGAAAACACACAUAUUCG
RNAcentral lists this long non-coding RNA (221 nucleotides) under Capsicum annuum. Its description in RNAcentral is "long non-coding RNA (CANN_LNC020121)". The record is from RNAcentral. Lineage: Eukaryota; Viridiplantae; Streptophyta; Magnoliopsida; Solanales; Solanaceae.